AAUUUUAUCUGGUAGGAUGGAUCCUAUGACUAAGGGGUUUUUCCUAGUGUGAGGCUCAUCCAUUGCAGGCUGAGUGUGCUGAGUUCUGCAAAUUCCAAACAUGGGGAACUUGACUACACAUUUGUGAAGUAGGGGAUUGCUUUCCAACUUAA
RNAcentral lists this small nuclear RNA (152 nucleotides) under Microtus ochrogaster (prairie vole). Its description in RNAcentral is "U1 spliceosomal RNA (ENSMOCG00000004508.1)". The record is from RNAcentral. Lineage: Eukaryota; Metazoa; Chordata; Mammalia; Rodentia; Cricetidae.